This is a long non-coding RNA of Homo sapiens (human), 2255 nucleotides long. Ensembl annotates it as long intergenic non-protein coding RNA 2880. The record is from Ensembl. NCBI's taxonomy places the organism in Eukaryota, Metazoa, Chordata, Mammalia, Primates, Hominidae.
CUUUCGGAGUGGAGUUUCCUAGCUGGUGCCUGUCCUCUCUUGAGCCUUUGUUUCUUGAGUGAGCACUCACUGGGGCUGUGGCUCCAUGAACUGGAUUUCAGGAAACCAGCCAAGGCAUUCUCUCUCUCUCUCCAUUCCUAGAAAGGCAGAAAGCCUGGGAAUGGGUUCGGCAGGAAGAUCUCUGUACCUCAAUCUCCAUUGCUUUCAGCACCACUGGCUUUCUCCCCAGCUCAAGUGCAAAACCUGCCAUCGUUGCUACCUGGGGUGCCUCAGACUCACCCAAGUCCCCCAGGCCAGAGGACAUGCUCUCAAGCCUUGUUUCAGAAAGAGGGACCCAAAGGCUGUUAGGGAAGAGAACCAGGGUCCUCAAACCCAGGGUUUUCUCACCCACUGCCUCUGCUCUGGCUGUGGCCUGCCAGACCUCUCCUCUGAUUUUCGCUUUCCUUCCUGCCAGUGCCUUUGUUUAUCCGAGGCGCCAAGAUCCCACUGUGAAGUCUGAAAGGAAGACCAGUGGUUCUCGCUUUUCCUCUAGAUGCUGUGUCUCCCAAUGUCAUCUUCUUUCCUCUCAAAGACAAUUGGACGUUGUUACAGAUUUUCUUGGAAUGAGUAAAUACCUAGCAGUGGGAUUGCUGGAUCAUAUGAAAAUGCCAGACUAUAUUUCAUCAGCAACAUCGGAGAGUUCCAGUUGCUCUACACCCUCACUAGCACUUAAUAUUGUUGAUCGCUGCCUGGAUUCACAGAAGGACAAAUUACAAUGCAUUUUGAAAGACUCGUCUACAGUCAACUAAAAUACCAGUUAUCACAGACUUCACUGGCCUUAAUGAGGAGGCUGAGAGGGAUUUAAUUACUGGGACAUGCAACGCUUACACCAAACUCUGUUCGAUUCACGACUUGGAAAAGCAAAUGUGGAUACAGAUGAGUGUGGACAUGGCUUCAGUAGGAAAUGUCGAGUUUGUUCAUCACUCUGAAGUUUCUUCAGCUGCAACGGAAACUGCACCCUCCCUCCCGACUUGUUGGUUAUCUUGCUGUGCUCCCAAGAAGGUAUUUUCUGCUGACCUGAUAGAUCAGACCUUUGUCAUUUUGAUUGAAAAGAUGUUUACCUGUUGGUCCCCAGCCUCACUCUUCUGAACCUCAGAUCCACUGAGUGUGUAUCCAGAGGUAAGUAUGUGGUAAGUAUGCUUGUCAUUUACAUUAUCUGUCAGCAUGAGUAUUGGUUUCCUAGAAACCUAAUAUUGAAAACACUUAGCAUUGCUAAAAGCAUUAAAUGAAAUAAAGACUCAAUAUAGCUGCACUAAUCUGUGCUUUCUAAAUUUACUGAUGGACGUGAAGAAAGUAGGUUGGCAUGGAGUUUAUACAAUUUAUGGAUCACACUGAUCUGAAUUCAGACAGUGUGUGCUCAGAUAAAAAUAUUGUUUCCUCCCAUGAGGUUUCCAAUUUUGCAGAGAAGAAUACCUCUGUUUAGCUCAUUACUUAACACAAUGGGUAGCUGGGUGGCCUUGCAUUCUGGAAGUGAAAUGACACAAGAAUGUCUCCACUGCAUUCUCCAGAGGUAAAGAUUCUCUGGCACAAAAUCACAACCAAGGUGGGGUUCCAAAACUAUAGAACAAAUGGCAGCAGCCAUGCAGCCAGCCUUGGUUCGGGUGGGCUGUAAAAGCAGAGGUUGUCCUCGUGUUAUCAGCACUGACUUCCUGUUGUGGCCACACUGACAGAGAUGAGAUGGCAGAAAGCAGGAAAGAGACCAGAGCUGCAAUUGACAGAUGGCUGGCCAAAGUUGAAGGGUCAGAGACUACACCAAAGACUUCUCAGAAAAUACUUGCCUAGGAGGCUCUCACUUGGAAAGAUAUUCAGGGUUGUUAAACAUAUCCUGUUAUUAGGAAAACGAGAGUUUUAUCUUUCUCUUACUCAGAAAGAAAAAACAAAAAGAAAAUUAGUGCUCUUAAGAAAAGCUAUUUUAAUGUUAUCCAUUAUAAAAUUAGAAAACCUUGAAAGGCAAAUGUUUCUUCUGACCAUUUACACUGAGCUUCUUUCAUUAUCUCAUAUGCAACCUUGUGGAUUGAAGGUGGAGAGUCCUUAGGAUUACCCAGGAACAUCCCUGUCUGCUCCCCCUGCUAGGCAGGAGGAGAUUUGAAACCACAUGUGUCUACUUCAUUUCUGUCACGGGUAGGACAGUGUCAUAUACUUUGUAGGUAACUCAAAGAUAUUAUAGGUAACUCAUAGAUAUUGAUUGAAUUAAUGUUUAAUAAAAUGAGAACACC